This 647-nucleotide ribosomal RNA is filed under the name uncultured bacterium. RNAcentral's name for it is "bacterial SSU rRNA". The stretch from base 1 to 545 matches the Rfam family "Bacterial small subunit ribosomal RNA", at positions 338 to 873 of the family's 1533-position model. The record is from RNAcentral.
CCUACGGGAGGCAGCAGUAGGGAAUAUUGGUCAAUGGACGAAAGUCUGAACCAGCCAUCCCGCGUGCAGGACGACGGCCCUAUGGGUUGUAAACUGCUUUUAUACAGGAAGAAUAAGCCUUACGUGUAAGGUGAUGACGGUACUGUAAGAAUAAGGAUCGGCUAACUCCGUGCCAGCAGCCGCGGUAAUACGGAGGAUCCAAGCGUUGUCCGGAUUUAUUGGGUUUAAAGGGUGCGUAGGCGGUUUGUUAAGUCAGUGGUGAAAGUUUGCGGCUUAACCGUAAAUUGCCAUUGAAACUGACAGACUUGAAUUUGGUUGAGGUUGCCGGAAUGUGUCAUGUAGCGGUGAAAUGCUUAGAUAUGAUACAGAACACCAAUUGCGAAGGCAGGUAACUAAACCAAUAUUGACGCUGAGGCACGAAAGCGUUGGGGAUCAAACAGGAUUAGAUACCCUGGUAGUCCCACGACCUAACGUUAGUAUUACUCGUUGUUGGUCGUAUACACUCGUCAGACGACGUAACGACGAACGACGUUAAGUUAACUACCUACCGUACGGGUAGGUACGACCGACGAACGGUUAGUAAACGUUAAACGGUAAAGUUAGUACGGCGUGAGACGUGCCGACGGACGACCGACGAGGGAGGUAGG